Molecule: non-coding RNA, 113 nt
Organism: Acanthosepion pharaonis
Lineage: Eukaryota; Metazoa; Mollusca; Cephalopoda; Sepiida; Sepiidae
Source: the annotation of a GenBank genome assembly
UACAGCCAGAUCAUGUUGAAAUACUGGUUCCUGUAUGGUCACCGAAGUUAAGCAACGUCGACCCUGGUCAGUACCUAGAUGGGUGACUGCUUGGGAAUAUGAGGUGCUGUAUG